This 426-nucleotide ribosomal RNA is filed under the name uncultured bacterium. RNAcentral describes it as "bacterial SSU rRNA". It matches the Rfam family "Bacterial small subunit ribosomal RNA", at positions 355 to 772 of the family's 1533-position model. The record is from RNAcentral.
UGGGGAAUUGUUCGCAAUGGGCGCAAGCCUGACGACGCAACGCCGCGUGGAGGACGAAGAUCUUCGGGUCGUAAACUCCUGUCGAGUGGGAAGAAUAAUUCGGGGAUGAAUACUCUCCGGAAUUGACGGUACCACUAAAGGAAGCCCCGGCUAACUCCGUCACAGCAGCCGCGGUAAUACGGGGGGGGCAAGCGUUGUUCGGAAUUACUGGGCGUAAAGGGCUCGUAGGCGGCCAACUAAGUCAGACGUGAAAUCCCCAGGCUUAACCUGGGAACUGCGUCUGAUACUGGAUGGCUUGAAUUCGGGAGAGGGAUGCAGAAUUCCAGGUGUAGCGGUGAAAUGCGUAGAUAUCUGGAGGAAUACCGGUGGCGAAGGCGGCAUCCUGGACCGACAUUGACGCUGAGGAGCGAAAGCCAGGGGAGCAAA